Long non-coding RNA from Pongo pygmaeus (Bornean orangutan), 1561 nucleotides. RefSeq lists it as uncharacterized. Lineage: Eukaryota; Metazoa; Chordata; Mammalia; Primates; Hominidae. The record is from RefSeq and is a predicted model, not a curated record. The transcript is spliced from 3 exons.
UGACUCAUACCUGAAGAUAUUUUGACCCCUGUAGUCUUGGGGCAAAAACUAAGGUCCUGUAUCUUCAACUUGUAGGAUGGUCACGGAAUAUCACAACUUGCAUGCACAUUGUAUGAAGCCCUCAAGUGCUACAAAGAGUGCCAAAAUAUAGCCCAGCUAAAACUGUGGUCAAACUAUGGCUGUUGUACACAAACUCAAAUAAAAGUAAGGAUUAUCAGCCUUCCACAUUAACAGAACCCACUGUUGAGGUUCUGAAUCGCACACCAAGAGGCAAUCAAGUUGGAAUUGUGAAUCUCAUGCAUCAAUCCAAUCGACAGAUGAGAUGAUAACACCAAGUCCAGGAUUUAGAACACCUGGGGGCUCUGACUCCCCUAUCAAAACAGUCUGUUGGUGAUAUUUGGGCUCUUGUGCAUUGAUUUAGUCCACUGUUGUGACUGACUUCCAUACUUGAACUCAACCCACAAGAGGUGUUGACUCUUAUACCUUUAGCAGGAAAAUGUCCAGGAUUGUAAAUGUCUGCUAUUGACUGGGUCCAGGUAUGAGUUUUAUUGCUGUUUCUGUGAGCUGGGUUCAAAAAUGAGUCACUGUCUCACCUGUAGCUGUAUCUAUAUAUGACAGUCACAAUUCCAAGUCUGGAUUGCAUUUGCAUGUGAGAUUUAGGACCUCACCAGUGAGAACUAGCUAUGUGUGAGGGUGACAAUUCUAUCAGAUGGAUGUGCAUAUGAGAGUCACAAUCUCAUCUUUGUUCUGGGUCCUGUUAUGACACUGUAUCAUUUGAGGGCUUUAUACAAUAUACCUUGGUAUCAUAAUACACUAUGACCUUUAUUUAAGUAGGAGACCCAGGACCUUAUCUGUUGCCCUAAGCCUAGAUAUCAGAGUCAAAAUCUGUUCUCUUAGCUGGAUCCAGGUAUGAGAGUCAUCAUCUCACCUGUGAGCUGCGACCAUGUAUAUGUCGCAAUUUCACCUGUCAGCAGGAACCAGACAUGAGAGUCCUAUCACCUGGGUGCUGGCAUCUUGAAAUUUUAACAUCGAUGUAAAACAACUUUUGAAAGAUUUAUGAAACAAGUUUCAAGGUUCACCUUCAGGCUGGUUUGGUUAAGUGGAAAAAUGGCAGCAGCCUCAAGGUUCACACUGAAAGAAAAUGCUGUUAUGUGCAUGUCAACCCAUGUAAAAAAUACCUGUAUGCAAGAUGGCACGAAGACUUGUGCAGUUGGAAUCACCAGUGCAAAUGCAUGCAUUUGAGAGUUUCGCCCUUGCCCAGGCUGGAGUGCAGUGGCACGAUCUCGGCUUACUACAACGUCUGCCGCCCGGAUUCAAGCGAUUCUCCUGACUUGCCCUCCCAAGUAGCUGGAAAUACAGCCACGUGCCACCACGCCCCCCAGCUAAUUUUUUUUUGUAUUUUUAGUAGACACAGUGUUUCCCCAUGUUGGCCAGGCUAGUCUUGAACGACUGACCUCAGGUGAUCCACCCACCUCAGCCUCCCAAAGUGUUGAGAUUACAGGCGUGAGCAACCACACCUGGCCAGAGCUUACUUUAUAAUAAACCCACUUUCCUGCCAACU